UACAGAGGGGGCAAGCGUUGUUCGGAAUUACUGGGCGUAAAGGGCGCGUAGGCGGCCUUCUAAGUCGAACGUGAAAUCCCCGGGCUCAACCCGGGAACUGCGUCCGAUACUGGAAGGCUUGAAUCCGGGAGAGGGAUGCGGAAUUCCAGGUGUAGCGGUGAAAUGCGUAGAUAUCAGGAGGAACACCGGUGGUGUAGACGGCUCUCUGGACCGUAACUGACGCUGAGACACGAAAGCGUGGGUAGCAAACAGG
This 253-nucleotide ribosomal RNA is filed under the name uncultured bacterium. RNAcentral describes it as "partial 16S ribosomal RNA". It matches the Rfam family "Bacterial small subunit ribosomal RNA", at positions 524 to 776 of the family's 1533-position model. The record is from RNAcentral.